CCCUCGCCGUCCAUUGGAACCUCUCCGACAACGCCGGGAGGAGGUGGAGGCUACACGCCGACGCCGAGCGACACGCCACCCUCUCCGUCCAGUGACACCUCGCCGAGCACUCCGGGUGGCGGCUGCUCGUCCUCACCCACGCCGUGCGACGCACCGCCCUCACCGUCCAGUGACACGUCCCCGACAACGCCGGGGGGAGGUGGAGGCUACUCGCCGACACCGAGUGACACUCCGCCCUCGCCGUCCAGUGACACCUCUCCGACAACGCCGGGUGGAGGUGGAGGCUACACGCCGACGCCGAGCGACGCGCCGCCCUCGCCUUCUAGUGACACCUCUCCGACAACGCCAGGUGGAGGUGGAGGCUACACGCCGACGCCGAGCGACGCGCCGCCUUCGCCGUCCAGUGACACCUCUCCGACAACGCCGGGUGGAGGUGGAGGCUACACGCCGACGCCGAGCGACACGCCGCCCUCGCCGUCCAGUGGCAGCUCCCCGACAACGCCGGGUGGAGGUGGAGGCUACACGCCGACACCGAGCGACACGCCGCCCUCGCCGUCCAGUGGCAGCUCUCGCACUACACCGGGUGGAUGCUCCACUCCCACGCCGUGCGGCACGCCGCCCGCGCCGUCGAGUGGCACCUCUCCGACCACACCGGGUGGAAGCUACUACCCGCCCACGCCGUCCAUUGGCGACGUGCCACCCUCGCCGUCCAGCGACACCUCUCCGACCACACCGGGCGGAGGCUCCCCGUCCACGCCAUGCGACACGCCGCCCUCGCCGUCCAGUGGCACGUCCCCGACCACGCCAGGUGGAGGCUACUACCCGCCCACGCCAUCCGUCGGCGACGUGCCUCCCUCGCCGGCCAGUGGCACCUCCCCAUCCACGCCAGGUAGUGGAGGCUACUCUCCGUCCACGCCAUGCAGUGCGCCGCCGUCGCCUUCAAGUGGCACCUCCCCAACCACGCCGGGUGGAGGCUAUUCUCCUUCCACGCCGUGCAAUGCGCCGCCCUCCCCUUCAAGUGACACCUCCCCGACAACACCUGGUGGCGGCAACUACCCGCCCGCGCCCACCAUUGGCAACGUCCCGCCAUCGCCAUCCAGCGGCACCUCCCCGAGCACACCGGGUGGUGGCUGCUCAUCCUCACCCACGCCAUGCGACGCGCCGCCCUCGCCAUCCAGUGACACUUCCCCGACAACACCGGGUGGAGGGUACUACCCGCCCACGCCGUCCAUCGGCACCUCGCCAUCCACACCGGGCACCGGCGGAGGCUACUACCCUCCCUCCCCUUCCACCGGCGGCUACACGCCGACUCCGGACGUUCCGAUCAGCACCCCGUCGAGCCCCUACUCCCCGCUGG
Molecule: long non-coding RNA, 1357 nt
Filed under: Oryza sativa (Asian cultivated rice)
Lineage: Eukaryota; Viridiplantae; Streptophyta; Magnoliopsida; Poales; Poaceae
Description: long non-coding RNA (OSAT_LNC001379)
Source: RNAcentral